This 783-nucleotide long non-coding RNA is filed under the name Homo sapiens (human). RNAcentral's name for it is "HSALNT0316969". The record is from RNAcentral. Lineage: Eukaryota; Metazoa; Chordata; Mammalia; Primates; Hominidae.
CUCAAACCCCACAACAGGAUUUAAUUAACCUCGCCUUCAAGGUGUACAAUAAUAGAAAAGAGUUGCAAUUCCUUGCCUCCACUGUGAGACAAACCCCAGCCACACCUCCAGCACACAAGAACUUCCAAACGCCUGAACCGCAGUGGCCAGGCGUUCCUCCAGAACCUCCUCCCCCAGGAGCUUGCUACAAGUGCCAGAAAUCUGGCCACCAGGGCAAGGAAUGCCUGCAGCCCAGGAUUCCUCCUAAGCUGUGUCCCAUCUGUGCCGGACCCCACUGGAAAUCAGACUGUUCAACUCACCUGGCAGCCACUCCCAGAGCUCCUGGAACUCUGGCCCAAGGCUCUCUGACUGCUUCCCAGAUCUUCUUGGCUUAGCAGCUGAAGACUGACACUGCCCGAUCGCCUCGGAAGCCCCCUAGACCAUCACGGACGCUGAGCUUCAGGUAACUCUCACAGUGGAGGGUACACAUCCAGAUGGCCGGUUCCUGCCUUAACUGCUGACAUUCCACCACAAAAGAAGUGAAAAUGGCCUGUUCCUGCCUUAACUGAUGACAGAUUGUCUUGUGAAAUUCCUUCUCCUGGCUCAUCCUGGCUCAAAAGCUCCCCCACUGAGUACCUUGUGACCCCCACUCUGCCCACCAGAGAACAAUCCCCUUUCGACUGUAAUUUUCCUUUACCUACUGAAAUCCUAUAAAAUAGCCCCACCCCUAUCUCCCUUCGCUGACUCUCUUUUCGGGCUCAGCCCGCCUGCACCCAGGUGAAAUAAACAGCUUUAUUGCUCACA